CCUACGUGUGGCAGCAGUGGGGAAUAUUGGGCAAUGGGCGCAAGCCUGACCCAGCAACGCCGCGUGAAGGAAGAAGGCUUUCGGGUUUUAAACUUCUUUUCUGAGGGACGAAGAAAGUGACGGUACCUCAGUAAUAAGCCACGGCUAACUACGUGACAACCGACGCGGUAAUACGUAGGUGGCAAGCGUUAUCCGGAUUUAUUGGGUGUAAAGGGCGUGUAGGCGGGAAAGCAAGUCAGAUGUGAAAACUCAGGGCUCAACCCUGAGCCUGCAUUUGAAACUGUUUUUCUUGAGUGCUGGAGAGGCAAUCGGAAUUCAGGGUGUAGCGGUGAAAUGCGUAGAUAUACGGAGGAACACCAGUGGCGAAGGCGGAUUGCUGGACAGUAACUGACGCUGAGGCGCGAAAGCGUGGGGAGCAAACAGGAUUAGAUACCCCUGUAGUC
This 443-nucleotide ribosomal RNA is filed under the name uncultured bacterium. Its description in RNAcentral is "partial 16S ribosomal RNA". It matches the Rfam family "Bacterial small subunit ribosomal RNA", at positions 338 to 795 of the family's 1533-position model. The record is from RNAcentral.